CGUACACUCCUACGGGAGGCAGCAGUGGGGAAUUUUGGACAAUGGGCGAAAGCCUGAUCCAGCCAUGCCGCGUGCAGGAUGAAGGCCUUCGGGUUGUAAACUGCUUUUGUACGGAACGAAACGGCCUUUUCUAAUAAAGAGGGCUAAUGACGGUACCGUAAGAAUAAGCACCGGCUAACUACGUGCCAGCAGCCGCGGUAAUACGUAGGGUGCAAGCGUUAAUCGGAAUUACUGGGCGUAAAGCGUGCGCAGGCGGUUAUGUAAGACAGUUGUGAAAUCCCCGGGCUCAACCUGGGAACUGCAUCUGUGACUGCAUAGCUAGUGUACGGUAGAGGGGGAUGGAAUUCCGCGUGUAGCAGUGAAAUGCGUAGAUAUGCGGAGGAACACCGAUGGCGAAGGCAAUCCCCUGGACCUGUACUGACGCUCAUGCACGAAAGCGUGGGGAGCAAACAGGAUUAGAAACCCCUGUAGUCCCA
Molecule: ribosomal RNA, 476 nt
Filed under: uncultured organism
Description: partial 16S ribosomal RNA
Rfam family: Bacterial small subunit ribosomal RNA
Source: RNAcentral